Long non-coding RNA from Olea europaea var. sylvestris, 463 nucleotides. RefSeq lists it as uncharacterized. NCBI's taxonomy places the organism in Eukaryota, Viridiplantae, Streptophyta, Magnoliopsida, Lamiales, Oleaceae. The transcript is spliced from 2 exons. The record is from RefSeq and is a predicted model, not a curated record.
AAGUAAUCUUUCAUCCUCAGUUAGACCCUUAUCUUUUUGAAUGUAUGCAAGGAUUUGAAAUUCCUUUAUCAUGUCAAGGUAUGCCCAAUCUGUUUGACAAAUCCCAAGGACAUGGCUUUUGGAUGUGGUCAUCUGACAUGCAAGGAUUGUGGCGUCUCCAUAUCAUCAUGCCCUUUGUGCCGGCAGCCCAUAACAACUCGACUAAGACUAUAUUCUUGACUAGGUCGAGGUUACAGCUUGAAGCGGUGAACAAAGCUCAACCAGGUUAAAUCGCAUCCUGGAGGAAAAAUUCCUUGAAAUUGGAGGCUUGACGGUUCUAUUUGUAUUAUUGCCAUUGACAUUUACUUUGUUCAAUCAGUUCUACAAAGACGUACCGUACCCUGUGCAUGAGACAUUUGAGAUACUUUGUAUGCUACAUUGGCAACAUUUUUUAAAUGCAAUUUUACUUGUCAGAAUUUUGUUU